This 487-nucleotide ribosomal RNA is filed under the name uncultured bacterium. RNAcentral's name for it is "partial 16S ribosomal RNA". It matches the Rfam family "Bacterial small subunit ribosomal RNA", at positions 28 to 507 of the family's 1533-position model. The record is from RNAcentral.
GACGAACGCUGGCGGCGUGCUUAACACAUGCAAGUCGAACGGAAAGGCCCCCAUCUUGGUGGGGGUGCUCGAGUGGCGAACGGGUGAGUAACACGUGGGUGAUCUGCCCUGUACUUCGGGAUAAGCUUGGGAAACUGGGUCUAAUACCGGAUAGGACCAUGGUUUAGUGUCUCAUGGUGGAAAGAUUAUUGUUUUGGUGCAGGAUGAGCUCGCGGCCUAUCAGCUUGUUGGUGGGGUAAUGGCCUACCAAGGCGUCGACGGGUAGCCGGCCUGAGAGGGUGGACGGCCACAUUGGGACUGAGAUACGGCCCAGACUCCUACGGGAGGCAGCAGUGGGGAAUAUUGCACAAUGGGCGCAAGCCUGAUGCAGCGACGCCGCGUGGGGGAUGACGGCCUUCGGGUUGUAAACUCCUUUCGUUAGGAACGAAGCCACGCUUGUUGGGUGUGGUGACGGUACCUUUGUGAAGAAGCACCGGCUAACUACGUG